Molecule: non-coding RNA, 136 nt
Organism: Lonchura striata (white-rumped munia)
Lineage: Eukaryota; Metazoa; Chordata; Aves; Passeriformes; Estrildidae
Source: RefSeq, a predicted model, not a curated record
GGAUGUAAAGGUGUUAGAGAACACAGCCUGAGCAUGCAAAUCACUUUGGACUCCAGGGACCUUCCCUUUGCUGGCCUUGGCACACAGGUGACUGCAUGGAACCCUGGCCAGAGAAACAGGACAAGAAAGGGUAAAA